UCAGCUGCCUUUCCCAGCCGCAGCAAUCUUCUUUCGGUGGUUAUUCAUUGGCUAACUUCUCAUUCAGCCCACUUCUUUCCCUGGUCUGCCAGACCUGUCAAUCUGUACUGAGUCAAAAAAGUCGUCACUGAGAACUCCCCAAGCAAAAGGAGAGAACAGCCUGCUCGAAAGAAAAGACAAGCAAAAUAGCUGGGCUGUGCAUCGGUGGAGGAGGAGAACAAAGGCUUGGAUAGGCUUGAAGGUGCAACCAAGGGGAGCUCUUCAAAAGGACAGUGAACAAACCCAGAAAUAAGACAGUGCUGUGUUUGAAGAAGGGCAGUAAGAGGAGAGCAGAGACAAGAUGAGCAAAACCCCAUACAAGAAGUUGGAAGAAAAUGCACCUGAAGUCCAGGAUCCACCCCCCUAUAUGGAAAAUCAACCAGCAACUUCUGGUAGUGAUUUCCUGGUGCCCCCCAGGUACCAAACUCCUUAUGAUCCAGCUCCGGCAGGAUACAACCAAGGUCUGGUCAUUCAAUCAACCCAUACCAUGAACGUCACACGUGUCCAGCCCACCAAGGAACCUGAUUACAUGGCCUACUCCAUCUUCACCAUGCUUUGUUGUUGCCUACCUCUGGGAAUUGCUGCCCUAAUUUACUCCUCACAGACUCGAGAAGCCAAUCACAAUGGAGAUGCAGUAUCUGCUCGACGAAAUUCCAGGCUGGCACGCAAUUUGGCCCAUACAGCAUUUGGAGUGGGGCUUGGGGCCAUAGCUCUAUACGUCAUCUUUCUUGUAUUUGUAUAUAACCAAAAAGCCUCUGAGAUGAUACACCAUCCCUAUACUAUAUCACCAUAAAUGUAAGGGUAAAAAUACUAGAAUAUCCAAGACAUUCUAAGAUAGUCCAAACAACUAACAAAAUUGCUUAAUCAUUACAUGAAUACAAUCCUAUGUUGCUGACUGGUAAGCUGCUGAAAUACUAAAGCACUGAAUUAAUGCUAAAUACUAAAAUGCCAAAAUAAUUUAGAAAUGAUUCUAGAGAGGUAUAAUAAAAUGUGAGGUGACAUAUUAGAGUGGUUAAGAUUCUUCUUGAAGUAUCUCAAAUAUGGGAAGCCACACUAUAAUGUGAUUGCACAAUCCUUGCACAAACUGCAAUAGCAAUUGUAGAAUGUGUUGUGACAUUCCUAGCACAUGUUGUUAACCACUAAAAGGCAGAUAUCAGGGUUGCUGUCUUCUAAGUUUCCAUGAUAAAUUGGCAAGAAAGAGGAGAUUAGGUCUUUGUGCCAUAGAGAAUAAAAAGGGAAGGUAAAAGAAUAUGAUGGAACUGACUUCCCUCAAUGGGCAAGAGCAAAAAUGUUCUUGCAGAGCAAUGCUGUUGAAUCAUCCUUCUAAAGUGCUGAUGGUAGUAUGUUGCAGCCAAGAUGAAAAUGCCCAGACAUGCUUGCCCUUUCAAAGCUAGCUUCCUUCCUCCAACCAACUCUUCUUCUAAACUGUUUACAUCAUCCAAACUCCUACCUAAGCCCUACUUUCCAUGAUCAGUGGUUCCAACUGAGUCUCACUGCAACAUGUUACUGUAAAUGAUAGGCUGGAACCCUAAAUGCUCAUAUGUGUGUUUGUGUUAUGGCAAGAUCUUUAAAGAAAAGGCACUUGCUCAGAGAUUUCAUCCCUAGAACUGAAGAAUGUUAGUGCCAGCAAAUCAAAAUUUUGAGACGACAUUUCAUAUAAUAAGUUUCUCUACCUUCUGCCCUCCAGAUAUGUUGGACAACAAAUUCCAUAAUUUAUGUGGAGUGGUAAUUAUAGGAGAUGAAGCCAAACACAUCUAAAUGAUACUAGAUGCUCUGUAAACCAAAAUAAGGGCACUGUUUGAACUAGAACCAGAAUGAACUGAUGGUCAACAGACAGCUUUGGAGAACACCUCCUUGAUCUUCUGCCUUCUCCUCUUUAUGGACCUUCCACAUGUCCUCCCAUCUGGAUCAGAGCAACUCUGCUAAAAUCCUCUUUCUUCAACAACUCGGUUCAACAAAUCAUUAUUGCAGUUAAAUCUCUGCCACAGAAUUCUAAAAGUUUGGUUUUGACUAAUUGCUUCUUAGAGAUGAAGUAUACAGUACUAAUUCUGAAUCUGCACACCUGCUAAAUGAACUCCAUUGAUCAUGUUACAGGCUGAAGCAUCAAUGUAUUAGGCAAUCAUCCUCUGCAAAUAUUUAGUGAAAAGUAUGCUUCAGUUUCAGUAUUUUUUGCUUGAGUUCAGUAUUAUUUGCAUGCUUGUGACCAUCAGUGCCUAUGGGGCCUAUGUGGGGUGCAGGGGUAUUUUUUAUAAGGCCUAUGCUUGGGGUUAAGCUGCUGAACCAUCCAGAACAUUUGUAUGCCAACUUCUGAUUUAGUUUUGAUUUUAAAAGGAAUCUAGAAAAAAGGCAAGUGAAAUAGGGAGCCUAACGGAUACCAGGGGUGGCAUGUACAGCAUGGGUAGCCCACUGAUGAAUCAGGCAGCAUAUAGAUUCUUUUCAUAAAUAAACAUUAUCUGUUGUUGUUGUUUAUUCGUUUAGUCACUUCCGACUCUUCGUGACUUCAUGGACCAGCCCACGCCAGAGCUUCCUGUCGGUCGUCAACAUCCCCAGCUCCCCCAGGGACAAGUCCGUCACCUCUAGAAUAUCAAAACAUUAUCUACCAGUGUCCUAGUCAUCCAGAAGAGACAAUGAUAAAAAGAUAGCAGCUAAAUCCAUGUAAACAUUAAAAGAAACUAUCUGACUGUCCUGCCAAAUGUCUCUUAAAGCGACCUAACAAUCUCAGGGAGCCAUUCAUCUCCUCCUGUUCAACCUUCUGAACAUAUGAAAAGAGUAGACGGUAUGCUCAACAUUGUUCUCCUACAGCAAGAAUGGAGAAUAGCCCCAAGACAUUGUCUUCUUAAACAAAUAUUGCAGUAUUAAAACUGUUUACAUUAUUCUAUGAUGGAUCUUUGGGCAAAACAUUGUUCUACCAUUUUCCAAAAAAUAUUAUUUUCAUUUCAACAUGUU
Long non-coding RNA from Candoia aspera, 2985 nucleotides. RefSeq lists it as uncharacterized. The transcript is spliced from 3 exons. NCBI's taxonomy places the organism in Eukaryota, Metazoa, Chordata, Lepidosauria, Squamata, Candoiidae. The record is from RefSeq and is a predicted model, not a curated record.